UGUGUUGUUGCUGUAAAAAGAAACCUUUAUAAAGUUUUUAUUUCCUCUUCCUCCAUUUGUUGUUGUUUGGGGGAGAUUUCUGCUUGUUGUUUGCUUUGUGUUGUUUUCUAAAGUUGAAACACAAGUCCCACCUCUACUGAUUUCCUAGAACUGACCUGGAAAACUAGGAAAAACCUGAGAGCCUGCCAGCUUUCUUGGGGCACCUGGAAUACACGAGCUUUCCUAAUGCUCCUAGAUAUCACAGGGAGGAAUCCUAGCUUUCCCAUUUAAUAAAUGCAGAAAUUAAUAAAAUACUAAAUUGCCAUUUUUCUUGACAGCUGUAAACAAAACCUUGGCAAUCAGCCUCUCUGCAGCCUGGAAGUUGGGAAAUAGAGGCAGACCUUCAAUUUUUUUUUUUAAGUAUUCCAUUAUUUUCAAGCCAACUUUGUGUGGGGGGGAGUGCUGAGGAGGAGACUCUGGAUUUUUUCACACUCGACUGUGUCAGUGCUAAACACAGAGACUGGGAGCUGGAAAUAAAAAAAAAAAAACACACUUUGAUACUGCAAACACUUGGACUGGAUUUUAACAUCACAUGCUCGAGCCUACGAACACAGAGCCAGACUGGGUCAGCCCCAACUUCCUGUCUCCAGCAGCAAGCAGUAGCAGACUCCCCAGUGCUCAGUGCUAUUUGUUGACAGAACACUGUCUUUUUUUUUCCCCCAUUUUUGUUUUUUUCUUUCUUCUUUUUUUUUUCCUUAUUUUUUCCUCGAUUUUUUUGCCUGUAACACGGUGUGACCAAGAGCAGGCACACCCCAGUGCAAUUGUUUGCUGUCGUGUUGAAAUGCACCUGAGAUUGACAAAGUUCCCUCCACUCCAGGAGUGUUACACAACACCUCAGGGCACUAUAAAUCCAGGAUUUCCCUCUUCUUCAUCUCCUUACAGGCCCUUCACUCCUCCCCCUGGUGGGACCUCCACCCACGAGCCAUGCGGAUCCUCCAGCUGCUCUUUGCAGUCAUUGUCAUUCUCCUCCUCCAGGACAUUCCAGCAGCCAGAGGUCUUUCAGACAGCCAGCAGUGCAGGAGCAACCGUGGCCGCUGCCGGAGGCUUUGCUUCCACAUGGAGCGCUGGGAAGGGAGCUGCGGGAACGGCCGCCUGCGCUGCUGCCGGUGACGGGGGGCCCACCAGGACAGAGCCCAGCACCCCAGGAGAGCCAGCCCGGUGUCCCUGCAGCCACAACUGUUAGUAGGAUCCGCUCUCAGACACCUCCACACUUGGUUUUCCCAUCACCAAUAAACCUGGAAAGGCCAUGGCAGGAUCCAUCCUUUCAAGGAGAUGAAUUCAAGACAGAGGUAUGAUUUGUCCUCCAAAAGUGCCUCUUCCUCUCCCACAGAAACAACAAGGUGAACCAGAGUCUACAACUCAUGUUUUCCAACCUGAUCUAGUGGAAGAUGUUCCUGCUCACUGCAGGAGGUUUGGGCUAAAUGGCUUUUAAAUGUCUCUUCUGACCCAAAUUUUUCUGUGAUUCACAAAAUAGAUGCCACUCACAUCACGUGAGGGACAUCACUGCCUCUUUUCCUGCCCAUGCUGAUCUAUUGAGUGGAAUUAUGAGUGGGAAUGGGCCAAGGCCAAGUUCACUUACAGCAGCUCCUCACCAGGGAGUAAAUGUUGUUGACUGUGAAGCUAAGGAGGAAGAGGAAUUGCCUGUCAUGAUGUGGUCUGGAGCAGGACCCCAGAAGCAAGUCUUCACCUUGGAGGUGGUGAGGGGGAAAGGAGGUAGUGUAGGAUGAGAAAGAAUAGAGAUGUCUUGGAGUUGUGAGGAGAGAGAUGGCUUGACAGGAUAUGAAAGUCUCCCAGAGAGAAACCUGGAAGAUUCCUCUCUGGAAAACACCCAGUAUAUGGUACCUAGGACAUGCAAGCAAUGAGGUGGACUUAAUUCCCACCCUAACCCCCCCAGCUACACACCUUGCUUCAAGCUAAACCCACUCUGCUAUCUAACCCAAAGGGACCAGUCUUGUCCUGGAGGAAACAGGGAAACCAGUAAAACCAGCUGACAAGUUGUCAGCCAGUGGAGAUCUAUCCCAUCUUUGCCUGGACUGUGAGCAGGGAGAGAUUCCCUCACUCCUCCUGAACCAGAGAGGGACUGGGCUCCUGUGGGCUCCGUGCUGGAAUAGCCCAUCCGUGCUCCCAGAUCCGCAGGUUGCAAACACGGCGGCAACGCCUUCGUGCAGUCCCCUCUCCUGGAUGCUCCUCCUCUCCGCUGAGGGACGGUCCUGCUCCACGGGGCCCUCGGAGAGCUCAGCCAGAGGUUAGCAGCCACCCCGGCUCACAGGAGCCAUCAUUCCCAUCGGGAGAUAAGGCUCCCCUUGAUAACAAGACCUGCCAGAAACGAGCCUCCAGUUUUUCCACCUUUUUGAAGUCUAGCCGGUGAAGUUUUGCAGAACCUUGUCUGUUUGCCAAAGUAACCAACUUCCAGCCCCAGCCUUUGCCUUCCCUCCUUUUCCCCGACCUCCUCCCCCCCUGCCUUCCCUCUUCCUCCUCGCUCCUCCACGCACACGCCUCUCCGUGGGGCUGAUAGAGAUGCUGGAGGGGGUGGACACGGCGAGGGGCUGAUGUCAUCUGUUUUUGGUCCUUCAGAGGAGCAGGCGCUGCCGGAGGAGGAGGAGGCAGGGGUUAGACACGUCUGCCUCUACCCAGCCUGGCGCCGGGAGCAACUGGGAGCCUUCCCUUGGCAGCCGCCCCUGCGCCUUAUCAGGGGGCAGGAUGACACCUCGGGGACGGGAUGCCGGGGCUGCAAAGGGAAAGGAGGCGGGGAGCCCCUGAAUGUGAGCCUUGAGAGAGGCGUGGACGCCUGGGUGUGCACAGGGAUGUGUGUGUGUGAGUGUGUGAGCUCACUGGGAGCAGGGAAAUCGCUCCCAGCAGGAUGGAGCCGGCUAUCAGCCGCCGGGGAAGCAAAGGAGAAAACGACUCGGUGCCAAAGCCCAGCCGAGUCAAGGGCGAUGCUGUCGCCCAGCUCCGCUCCUGCUCGGCCCUGGGAAAGUUUAACCUCUCAUAUCCCAGCCAGAAGACCUGGAAAAUCCUGCGCGACCAUCUGGAAAGGGUUAGAAGAUCCCCCUUGCCAUCAAAGGAGGAGGUCAGGGCAGAGGGAGGGAGGUAAAUCCAUCUGUCCCACACCCAAAGCUUGGGUUCAGGAGGUAUCUCUAGCAGAGCUGAGUACAAAUUUAUGAUGGAAAUGGUUUUGAGAUGGAGCGCUGUGUCCCUCUCCAGAAGGUUUUGGCUUUUUUUUUUUUACACUUGAAAUGGAGACCCAUCAUUCCCCAUAAAACAACAGUAACUCUGACACCUCCACCUUUUUCUUCUCUCCCCAGAAAUGGGGUUUGAUUCAAAAAGUAUGAAAUAUUUGUGGUUAAAUGCAGAACAAACUAUGCUUCCUAUCUCCUGCAACAGGAGGGAAAAGCCUUGUGGGACCCAGGAGAUGCAGCCCAAGGAGAGAGAUUUCCUUACACCCAUGGUCUUUUAAUAUAUUUAAUUUUUUAUUAUGCAUUAAUGUUAGAAAGGAUAUUUCCCCCCCAUUCUGAUGGAUCGUCUUACUCAUUUUGGAUACCAUUCCUCUAGAGGAAAAUGGAGAUUUGAGGAGAGGAUCUACAGCCCCUGAGGCACAGGACAGAAAUCUAAAGGAGUGCUUCUUUUCCAGCUGAAAAAAAUUAUAAAAUUAAUUUUCUUUUGCUUGGAAUAAAUAAGAUUUCCUGCAAAA
Molecule: RNA transcript, 3730 nt
Organism: Myiozetetes cayanensis
Lineage: Eukaryota; Metazoa; Chordata; Aves; Passeriformes; Tyrannidae
Gene name: gallinacin-13-like
Exons: 3
Source: RefSeq, a predicted model, not a curated record